UUUUGGGUUAUCUUUCCUUAGAAGUGUAUGUUUUUUAGGGUUUUAACUUGUUCUUAUUUAGCAAAGCUUGGAACUUUAUUAUACAAAUUCACGGGCUAAAUCAAUGAAGAUGAUGAUGAUGAUGUUCUUAUUGUGUUCUUGAGUGCUCUUCUUUUGUUUUCUUAGAUUUCUAGAUUAUUUUGGGUUCAAUCAUCAAAUCGAUUGGUGUGUUGGAUCUGAAAUUUGUUGAGAAACAUCACUGGCAUUGUAGAUCUGGGUUUUGGGACCUAUAAUUUGAUAUCAGAUAUUAAUGUUCUUGGUUGUUUAAAAUUUUAGGGCUUUUGAAAAAGUUUCAUAGUUUUUACAAUUUCUAAGAUCUAGAUCUGAUUAUGAUGGAUUGGUUGUUGUUUCUUACUUAAAACACUUACAAAUUUGAUUUGGAAGCUUCCUAUUAAUUCAACUGAUGAGUUGAUUGUAUUUAUGGAUUGUUUUGUGUGAUUUUGGUGUUGAAUAGUUAAAAGGGGUUGUUUCAGCAAGAUCAACGACACCGGUUCUCGAAUAUGGUGACACUGACGGUUAUUGAUUUUAAAUUGAAGAAGGGUUUCCUCGAGGCACUACUAGCGACCCUCAAGCUUUAAGCCGUAAUCUGUUUGGCAUCGCAUAUCAGUGUUCACUAAUUCUGUUUGAGCGACACAGAACCAGCAACACUUAAGCUUCUGACGACACUAUUGCAUAUUCUCUUAAAAUCCCUUCAAAAUCUUCAAAUUGCUCAAAGUGAUCUUGAACUUAUUCCCACAUCUAGACUACCUACACUGAAGUCUAGUGAUGAGUUUGUUAAAUAGAAAGGAAAAAUGGAAAAAUAAAAUUACUUCACUAAUGCAUCUU
This 864-nucleotide long non-coding RNA is filed under the name Helianthus annuus (common sunflower). RNAcentral's name for it is "hypothetical non coding rna". The record is from RNAcentral. Lineage: Eukaryota; Viridiplantae; Streptophyta; Magnoliopsida; Asterales; Asteraceae.